UACGGGGGCAGCAGUGGGGAAUAUUGCACAAUGGGCGCAAGCCUGAUGCAGCCAUGCCGCGUGUAUGAAGAAGGCCUUCGGGUUGUAAAGUACUUUCAGUCGUGAGGAAGGUGUUAAGGUUAAUAACCUUAGCAAUUGACGUUAGCGACAGAAGAAGCACCGGCUAACUCCGUGCCAGCAGCCGCGGUAAUACGGAGGGUGCGAGCGUUAAUCGGAAUUACUGGGCGUAAAGGGCACGCAGGCGGUUAAUUAAGUUGGAUGUGAAAUCCCCGGGCUUAACCUGGGAAUGGCAUUCAAGACUGGUUAGCUAGAGUCUUGUAGAGGGGGGUAGAAUUCCAUGUGUAGCGGUGAAAUGCGUAGAGAUGUGGAGGAAUACCGGUGGCGAAGGCGGCCCCUGGACAAAGACUGACGCUCAUGUGCGAAAGCGUGGGGAGCAAACAGGGAUUAGAUACC
Molecule: ribosomal RNA, 453 nt
Filed under: uncultured bacterium
Lineage: Bacteria
Description: bacterial SSU rRNA
Rfam family: Bacterial small subunit ribosomal RNA
Source: RNAcentral